UACGAAGGGUGCUAGCGUUGUUCGGAAUCACUGGGCGUAAAGCGUGCGUAGGCGGCUUUUCAAGUCAGGGGUGAAAUCCUGGGGCUUAACCCCAGAAUUGCCUUUGAAACUGGAAAGCUAGAGUAUCGGAGGGGAUAGCGGAAUUCCUAAUGUAGAGGUGAAAUUCGUAGAUAUUAGGAGGAACACCGGUGGCGAAGGCGGCUAUCUGGACGAUUACUGACGCUCUGGCACGAAAGUGUGGGGAUCAAACAGG
This 253-nucleotide ribosomal RNA is filed under the name uncultured bacterium. Its description in RNAcentral is "partial 16S ribosomal RNA". It matches the Rfam family "Bacterial small subunit ribosomal RNA", at positions 524 to 776 of the family's 1533-position model. The record is from RNAcentral.